GCUUUUCUUUCUGCGCCUGUGCAAUCGAAUAGGAGGAGCUGUGGGUGAAGUCUACUUCCUGUUCUCUCUUCAAUCCUGCCUGCGAGGGAGAAGGGUGGACGCCAUUAGAAGCUCAUCAUCUUCUACUGAGGCCGGGACCUCUCCUCCAAGACGUCGUCGUAGAUAUGAUAUGUAAUCAUCUGCGGAGUAGAGGCCUCCCGGCCCAGACACCGCAGGAGAGGAGGAAGUCAGUUGUGGAGGACAGCAAGCGGCAGCUCAUCCCGUUGACUCCAAUAAAGGUCGUCAAGAAAAAGCCAGAGGAAGUCGGGGAGCACGCGGUGGUCGUGUUCGUGGUUCCAGAGGCUCCACCAGAACGGAUGAGGAGGAAUUUGGCAGUUUGAUUAUCGACAAUGAACUCCUCAUCCAGAUGGAGGAGGACAGACCACUACUGUGGGACCACACCGACCGCCGCCACGCAGACCAUCAUGCUA
Long non-coding RNA from Bufo gargarizans (Asiatic toad), 470 nucleotides. RefSeq lists it as uncharacterized. NCBI's taxonomy places the organism in Eukaryota, Metazoa, Chordata, Amphibia, Anura, Bufonidae. The transcript has 5 exons. The record is from RefSeq and is a predicted model, not a curated record.